UGCCCAAUGAAUUUUUAAAUGGCUGCAGUAUUAUGACUGUACAAAGGUAGCAUAAUCAAUAGUUUCUUAAUUAGAAGCUGGAAUGAAUGGAUGAACGAGAAAUUAACUGUCUCUGUUUAAAUAAAAGAAUUUUAUUUUUAAGUAAAAAAGCUUAAAUUUAAUUAAAAGACGAGAAGACCCUAUAGAGUUUUAUAUUAAUAUUAUUUUAUUAAAAAUUUAAUUUUAUUAUUAUUUUGUUGGGGUGAUAUAAAAAUUUAAAUAACUUUUUUUUAAAAUUAAACAAUUAUUUUUGAAAAAUUGAUCCAUUAUUAUGAUUAAAAGAAUAAAUUACCUUAGGGAUAACAGCGUAAUAUUUUUAUAGAGUUCAUAUUAAAUAAAAUGAUUGCGACCU
Molecule: ribosomal RNA, 391 nt
Filed under: Stenus impressus
Lineage: Eukaryota; Metazoa; Arthropoda; Insecta; Coleoptera; Staphylinidae
Description: partial 16S ribosomal RNA
Rfam family: Eukaryotic large subunit ribosomal RNA (bases 1-119)
Source: RNAcentral